Long non-coding RNA from Medicago truncatula (barrel medic), 861 nucleotides. RefSeq lists it as uncharacterized. The record is from RefSeq and is a predicted model, not a curated record. NCBI's taxonomy places the organism in Eukaryota, Viridiplantae, Streptophyta, Magnoliopsida, Fabales, Fabaceae. The transcript has 3 exons.
AAAAAAAAAACUUUUAAUUUAUUAGAAACAUUUUUUGACCAUAAAGAGAGUGAUGAAAUCGACCUAUAUCCCUUUAUUUUUUAACUCGAUUUCAUUUUCCAAAUCAGAUUCUUCCCGGCGGCCCUGUCACCGUUUGUCCACCAAUAAUUCGUUGCUGUAUUCGACCUGAAUACCUUCAAUUUCUACCGCAUUCGCUCCACCACCUUUCUUGUUGCUGUGGAGAUCGAGACAAAUCCCAAGGUGGUUGGAGGUUUGCGUGUGGAAUCAGUUGGGGAACCUAUGGUUUCCAAUCGUCUGAUAGCGUCUAGCUUAGUUGCUUAUGUGAUAGUUGCAUUCUUGUUUGAUGUUACUGGUUGGAAGAGUUUGUUUUUGAAUCUCCUCGUAAUGUUCUUGGUUUAUUUUGGGUUUAAUCCGAACAACCGUCUUAAGUUGAAAAUGGAGUUCGCUAUUGUAAGAAGGAAGUACACAAAUGGAGAAGGAGAUAAUGAUGAUAACAACGGAAACCUACAUCGUAGAGCAGCUGGUACACCUGAUCAAGCUAACUGACUUUUUGAUCACUGCUACUGAUGAGGUUUUGCUUCUUUUGACUGCAUGGGGGUUUUGUUAUGAGACGGGGAUUUUAUUUUGUUGUAGUACUUAUUUUGGAUUAGGCUUUGAGUUUUUCCCCUGAUUUGUGUGUACUCUUGUGAUGCACAGUCUAAGUGGAAGCACCUGUGGAUCAGCUAAACUCUUUUAAACACCGAUGUUAAAAAUCUUCUGAUGAAUGCUUAUAAACUUUCACUGACUUUUGAAAUUUCUUGAUGAAUGUUGUAUAAAUUUUGAUUUUUAAUUUGAGAAAUGUCUGCUGGCAGUGUUUGUGGA